This 407-nucleotide ribosomal RNA is filed under the name uncultured bacterium. RNAcentral describes it as "bacterial SSU rRNA". It matches the Rfam family "Bacterial small subunit ribosomal RNA", at positions 976 to 1381 of the family's 1533-position model. The record is from RNAcentral.
AACACUUGACAUGUUCGUCGCGACUUUAAGAGAUUAAAGUUUUCGGUUCGGCCGGACGAAACACAGGUGCUGCAUGGCUGUCGUCAGCUCGUGUCGUGAGAUGUUGGGUUAAGUCCCGCAACGAGCGCAACCCUCACUUUUAGUUGCCAUCAUUUAGUUGGGCACUCUGAAAGAACUGCCAGUGAUAAGCUGGAGGAAGGUGGGGAUGACGUCAAGUCCUCAUGGCCCUUAUGUGUUGGGCUACACACGUGCUACAAUGGUAUCUACAACAGGAAGCAAGAUGGCAACAUUAAGCAAAUCCUAAAAAGAUACCUCAGUUCGGAUUGCACUCUGCAACUCGAGUGCAUGAAGCUGGAAUUACUAGUAAUCGUGGAUCAGCGUGCCACGGUGAAUACGUUCCCGGGUCU